CGUCUAGGCGGUCAAGUAAGUCACCCGUGAAAGCCCUCGGCUUAACCGAGGAAGGUCGGGUGAUACUGCUUGGCUUGGGUGUAGGAGAGGAGAGCGGAACUCACAGAGUAGCGGUGGAAUGCGUAGAUACUGUGAGGUACCCCGAUGGCGAAGGCAGCUCUCUGGCCUACUACCGACGCUGAAGCGCGAAAGCGUGGGGAGCAAAGG
Molecule: ribosomal RNA, 207 nt
Filed under: uncultured bacterium
Lineage: Bacteria
Description: partial 16S ribosomal RNA
Rfam family: Bacterial small subunit ribosomal RNA
Source: RNAcentral